ACUAAAUAAUGCAACACUAGACUUCCUUUGUAGGUGUGAGUCCUUUAGUUUACAGACAUCACAGCAAAGGUGGCAUCUGUGACUGAGGGACUGUCUGUAGAGCCAGUAAAGAACAACCAUCUUUACACUGAACUCAUGAACAGAGAGGAACAACCAGACUAAAGACAACAAUGCUCUGACUACUCUUUUCUGCUUUGAGCCAUGCUGCUGAGUGGAUCGCUUCCUGCUGCUGCUGUGGCUCAAAGAAGGACAAGACAGGAUGACUGUACCAGUGUAGAGGGCAGAAAGUGUGGACAGUCUCUGGAGAUGAAACAACGUCCAAAAGUCAAAUUCCAACAUAACUGCUCCGAGUGGGAAUGGCAGGAGAGUCUCUGAGGGUUAUUUCAUCUGUGGCUGCUCUGUGCUCGUCUUGAUGAUGACCCAUCCACAAACUUUUAUGGAAGUAGGAUGAUGUCUGACAUUUGACAAGUGCAGCAGCAGCUCAGAAAUGUCACAAAUUCUACUUUAUACAACAAUAGCUUAUAUAUAAAGACCCAAAUGUUAUUAAAAAAAGA
This is a long non-coding RNA of Cheilinus undulatus (humphead wrasse), 554 nucleotides long. RefSeq lists it as uncharacterized. NCBI's taxonomy places the organism in Eukaryota, Metazoa, Chordata, Actinopteri, Labriformes, Labridae. The record is from RefSeq and is a predicted model, not a curated record. The transcript has 3 exons.